RNAcentral lists this long non-coding RNA (1062 nucleotides) under Salmo trutta (river trout). RNAcentral's name for it is "lncRNA (ENSSTUG00000044568.1)". Lineage: Eukaryota; Metazoa; Chordata; Actinopteri; Salmoniformes; Salmonidae. The record is from RNAcentral.
AUGUCCAAUGUGUGCGUGUUUGUGUGUGUGUCCAAUGAGUAUGUGUGUGUGUGUGUGUGUGUGUAUGUUUGUGUGUCUGUGUGUGUGUGUCCAAUGUGUAUAUGUGUGUGUGUCCAAUGUGUGUGUGUGUGUCCAAUGUGUGUGUGUGUCCAAUGUGUGUGUGUGUCCAAUGUGUGUGUGUGUCUGUAUCCAGUGAUUGUGUGUGUGUCUGUAUCCAAUGUGUGUGUGUGUGUGUUUGUGUCCAGUGUGUGUGUGUGUGUGUGUGUGUCCAAUGUGAGUGUGUGUGUGUGUGUGUGUCCAGUGUGUGUGUAUGUGUCUGUGUCCAGUGUUUGUGUGUGUGUCUGUGUCCAGCGUGUGUGUAUCCAAUAUGUGUGUGUGUCCAAUGUAUGUGUCCAUUGUGUGUGUGUGUGUCCAGUGUGUGUGUGUCCAAUGUGUGUGUGUCUAUGUGUGUCUGUGUGUUUGUCCUGUGUGUGUGUGUGUGUGUGUGUGUGUGUCUGUGUCCAGUGUGUGUGUGUGUGUCCAGUGUCCUAUGUGUGUGUGUUUGUGUGUCUAUGUGUGUGUGAGUGUCCAGCCUGUUUGUGUAUAUGUCCAAUGUGUGUGUGUGUCCAAUGUGUGUGUGUGUCCAAUGUGUGUGUGUGUGUCCAAUGGGUGUGUGUGUGUGUGUGUGUCCAAUGGGUGUGUGUGUGUUUCCAAUGUGUGUGUUUGUCCAAUUUUUGUGUGUGUGUCCAAUGUUUGUGUGUGUGUCCAAUGUGUGUGUGUGUCCAAUGUGUGUGUGUGUCCAGUGUGUGUGUGUGUGUGUGUGUGUGUGUGUCCAGUGUGUGUGUCCAGUUUGUGUCCAGUGUGUGUCCAGUGUGUGUGUGUGUGUGUGUGUGUCCAGUGUGUCCAGUGUGUGUGUGUGUGUGUGUGUGUGUGUGUGUGUGUGUGAGUGUGUGUCCAGUUUGUGUCCAGUGUGUGUCCAGUGUGUGUGUGUGUGUGUGUCCAGUGUGUCCAGUGAGUGUGUGUCCAGUGUGUGUGUCCAGUGUGUGUCCAGUGUGUGUGUGUGUUUGUCCAGUGUGUGUCUAG